Molecule: ribosomal RNA, 274 nt
Filed under: uncultured bacterium
Lineage: Bacteria
Description: partial 16S ribosomal RNA
Rfam family: Bacterial small subunit ribosomal RNA
Source: RNAcentral
AGACGGGGGGGGCGAGCGUUGUUCGGAAUUACUGGGCGUAAAGGGCGCGCAGGCGGCUUGGGAAGUCUUGGGUGAAAGCCCCCAGCGCAACUGGGGAAUGGCCUGAGAAACCACUAGGCUGGAGUGCUGGAGAGGGAAGCGGAAUUCCCGGUGGAGCGGCGAAAUGCGUAGAUAUCGGGAGGAACACCAGAGGCGAAGGCGGCUUCCUGGACAGACACUGACGCUGAGGCGCGAAAGCUAGGGGAGCAAACGGGAUUAGAAACCCCUGUAGUCC